This 1230-nucleotide long non-coding RNA is filed under the name Cairina moschata (Muscovy duck). RNAcentral describes it as "domestica (muscovy Duck (domestic type)) lncRNA (ENSCMMG00000014859.1)". Lineage: Eukaryota; Metazoa; Chordata; Aves; Anseriformes; Anatidae. The record is from RNAcentral.
GACGCGGCCGGGGCCGAGACGCGGGCUCCCUGCUGCUCCCAGCCGCCGCCGCGGCGCCGCCAGCCACAGCCCCGCCAGGUGCCGCUGCCAGUGGCGGCUCGCGACGCGCCGGGACGCUCCGCGCGGCGCCCCUCCGGGCCGCGACGCUCCCGCCGCAGGCUCCCGCCGCAGGCCCCGCGCCCCGGCCCCGCGCCCAACGCCCGCCCUGCUGCCGCAACGGCCGCCCCGCGCCGUCCCCCGGCCCGCCUGCAGCACCGCCGCGCCGCCGCCCCCGCCCCGCCGCGCCGCGCUGUGCCCUGCCCGCCGCCCACCUCCGCUUUUAGCCGCCGCCGCCGCGCGCCCUCCUCCCGCCGUGCCGGGCGCUACCACGCGGCGGCGGGGGGGGUUGGGGGGGGACGACCCGCGCGGGCACGGCCGAGGAGGGGCGGUCGCCAGCCUCCCGCCCCGCGCCUCCGCGGGACGCGACGCGGGGACGCCGGGCGGCAGCGCCGGUGCGGGCGGGGAGCGGGCGAACGGGCUCGGUUGGGCCCGGCCCCCCCCCCUCACGGCCCGGCGAGUGGCGCCGUCCGCCACCCGCGGGGCGGGGGCGCGGAGGCGCGGAGGAGGCGAGGCGGGGCGGGGCGGGGCGGGGGGGGGCGGCGCUGCCUCGCUGCCGCCCUCCCGCCGCCGGCAGCGGCCGUUGGCGGCCUUGAGGGAGGCGCCGCGGAGCGCGGCCGGGGCUGCGGUGCCCCCGGAGCCGGGCGGGGGGCGGCUGCCCUGGCGCCGCCUUUGUUCCGCUUUCGAGCCCCGUUAAAGCUCGCCCCCCUCCUGCAGCCCGCAGCCCGUCCCCCCCUGCCCGUCCCCACGUGCUCCUCACCGCGUUUGUCCUCAGCUCCCGGGCUGCCGCCGGCGCUCGGCAGCUGGUGCCCUCGGGCUCAGUGCCUGGUGCCUGAGGGUCCUGCGGCCGGCUCGCCUGCCUGCCUGACAGGACCCGAACUGCACCUCUCGCACCGUUUCGCCCUCUCCAGAAACGGCGUCUGCCCGGUGGGGUCUGGCGCUUCUGCUGCGGCACUGAAAAGCACCGAGCCCACCAGCCGGGGUGCGGAGCUGCCCGCUCCCCGCGGUCCCACACAGCAAGCGCGGCACUGCGGCCAACCCCGGCGAGGAGAGGUGCGAGGAAGAGGCGUAGCACACCGAGUUACUUCUUACUCCCCGCGCAAUUGCACUGCGUUAUCUGACGCUGGCAGAUGA